This 209-nucleotide long non-coding RNA is filed under the name Mytilus galloprovincialis (Mediterranean mussel). Lineage: Eukaryota; Metazoa; Mollusca; Bivalvia; Mytilida; Mytilidae. The record is from RNAcentral.
GGCCCCUUAUUCCUAAACUGUUGGGACCAAAACUCCCAAAAUCCCAACCGUUCUUUUAUGGUCAUAAACCUUGUGUUUAAAUUUCAUAGAUUUCUAUUUACUUAUACUUAAGUUAUGGUGCGAAAACCAAGAAUAAUGCUUAUUUGGACCCCUUUUUGGCCCCUAAUUCCUAAACUGUUGGGACCUCAACUCCCAAAAUCAAUCCGAAC